RNAcentral lists this ribosomal RNA (497 nucleotides) under uncultured bacterium. RNAcentral's name for it is "partial 16S ribosomal RNA". It matches the Rfam family "Bacterial small subunit ribosomal RNA", at positions 28 to 507 of the family's 1533-position model. The record is from RNAcentral.
GAUGAACGCUGGCGGCGUGCCUAAUACAUGCCAGUCGAGCGAACGGACGAGAAGCUUGCUUCUCUGAUGUUAGCGGCUGACGGGUGAGUAACACGUGGAUAACCUACCUAUAAGACUGGGAUAACUUCGGGAAACCGGAGCUAAUACCGGAUAAUAUUUUGAACCGCAUGGUUCAAAAGUGAAAGACGGUCUUGCUGUCACUUAUAGAUGGAUCCGCGCUGCAUUAGCUAGUUGGUAAGGUAACGGCUUACCAAGGCAACGAUGCAUAGCCGACCUGAGAGGGUGAUCGGCCACACUGGAACUGAGACACGGUCCAGACUCCUACGGGAGGCAGCAGUAGGGAAUCUUCCGCAAUGGGCGAAAGCCUGACGGAGCAACGCCGCGUGAGUGAUGAAGGUCUUCGGAUCGUAAAACUCUGUUAUUAGGGAAGAACAUAUGUGUAAGUAACUGUGCACAUCUUGACGGUACCUAAUCAGAAAGCCACGGCUAACUACGUG